UUGACCUCGGAUCAGGUAGGACUACCCGCUGAACUUAAGCAUAUCAAUAAGCGGAGGAAAAGAAACCAACAGGGAUUGCCCCAGUAACGGCGAGUGAAGCGGCAACAGCUCAGAUUUGGAAUCUGGCCCCCAGGGCCCGAGUUGUAAUCUGGAGAGGAUGCUUCUGGCGCGGCGCCUUCCGAGUUCCCUGGAACGGGACGCCGGAGAGGGUGAGAGCCCCGUACGGUUGGACGCCUAGCCUUUGUGAAGCUCCUUCGACGAGUCGAGUAGUUUGGGAAUGCUGCUCAAAAUGGGAGGUAAAUUUCUUCUAAAGCUAAAUACCGGCCAGAGACCGAUAGCGCACAAGUAGAGUGAUCGAAAGAUGAAAAGCACUUUGAAAAGAGGGUCAAACAGUACGUGAAAUUGUUGAAAGGGAAGCGCCCGUGGCCAGACUUGUGCCCCGCGGACCACCCGGCGCCCUCAGCGCCGGUGCACUCCGCGGGGCGCAGGCCAGCAUCGGUUUUCCUAGGGGGAUAAAGGCGGCGGGAACGUGGCUCCUCCGGGAGUGUUAUAGCCCGCCGUGCCAUGCCCCUGGGGGGACCGAGGACCGCGCUUCGGCAAGGAUGCUGGCGUAAUGGCCACCGGCGACCCGUCUUGAAACACGGACCAAGGAGUCAAGCAUUGGGGCGAGUGUCUGGGUGCCAAACCCGCACGCGAAAUGAAAGUGAACGCAGGUGAGAGCUUCGGCGCAUCAUCGACCGAUCCUGAUGUUCUCGGAUGGAUUUGAGUAAGAGCCUUACCGCUUGGACCCGAAAGAUGGUGAACUAUGCCUGUAUAGGGUGAAGCCAGAGGAAACUCUGGUGGAGGCUCGCAGCGGUUCUGACGUGCAAAUCGAUCGUCAAAUAUGGGCAUGGGGGCGAAAGACUAAUCGAACCAUCUAGUAGCUGGUUACCGCCG
RNAcentral lists this ribosomal RNA (936 nucleotides) under Leptographium sp. MY-2023b. RNAcentral describes it as "partial large subunit ribosomal RNA". It matches the Rfam family "Eukaryotic large subunit ribosomal RNA", at positions 1 to 963 of the family's 3401-position model. The record is from RNAcentral. Lineage: Eukaryota; Fungi; Ascomycota; Sordariomycetes; Ophiostomatales; Ophiostomataceae. RNAcentral also lists the same sequence under 1 other name.